Molecule: ribosomal RNA, 491 nt
Filed under: uncultured bacterium
Lineage: Bacteria
Description: partial 16S ribosomal RNA
Rfam family: Bacterial small subunit ribosomal RNA
Source: RNAcentral
AGUGAACGCUGGCGGUAGGCCUAACACAUGCAAGUCGAACGGCAGCACAGUAAGAGCUUGCUCUUACGGGUGGCGAGUGGCGGACGGGUGAGGAAUACAUCGGAAUCUACUUUUUCGUGGGGGAUAACGUAGGGAAACUUACGCUAAUACCGCAUACGACCUACGGGUGAAAGCAGGGGAUCUUCGGACCUUGCGCGAUUGAAUGAGCCGAUGUCGGAUUAGCUAGUUGGCGGGGUAAAGGCCCACCAAGGCGACGAUCCGUAGCUGGUCUGAGAGGAUGAUCAGCCAAACUGGACCUGAGACACGGUCCAGCCUCCUACGGGAGGCAGCAGUGGGGAAUAUUGAACAAUGGGCGCAAGCCUGAUCCAGCCAACCCGGGUGGGUGAAGAAGGCCUUCGGUUUGUAAAGCCCUUUUGUUGGGAAAGAAAAGCAGCAGGUUAAUACCCCGCUGUUCUGACGGUACCAAAAGAAUAAGCACCGGCUAACUUCGU